GCCAAAGGCGUCCAUCUCAGAAACGUAAGUUGCACAACUCCGACGUUGUUAGUAACCCUGCACCCUUCGCGAUGCCAUCGGCUUCUCAUGAUAAUGAUGUCCCAUAUGAUACUUGGGAUGAAAAUUUUGGUUGGAUUCAUGCUGAUUCUAGGACAUAUGUAAAUAUUAUUGAUAAUGAAGAACCAGUAAUACCCAAUCUGGAUGACGACUAUGAGGACUUGGACUUGAACUUUAGUCUUUCAAGGAUUUGAGGAGUUUUAUAGCAAAUACCUUGAACUUUUUUGUUUUUGAAUCUAUAAG
This is a long non-coding RNA of Salvia miltiorrhiza (redroot sage), 300 nucleotides long. RefSeq lists it as uncharacterized. The record is from RefSeq and is a predicted model, not a curated record. The transcript has 3 exons. Lineage: Eukaryota; Viridiplantae; Streptophyta; Magnoliopsida; Lamiales; Lamiaceae.